RNAcentral lists this ribosomal RNA (253 nucleotides) under uncultured bacterium. Its description in RNAcentral is "partial 16S ribosomal RNA". It matches the Rfam family "Bacterial small subunit ribosomal RNA", at positions 524 to 776 of the family's 1533-position model. The record is from RNAcentral.
UACAGAGGUCUCAAGCGUUGUUCGGAUUCAUUGGGCGUAAAGGGUGCGUAGGUGGCGCCGUAAGUCAGGUGUGAAAUCUCGGGGCUCAACCCCGAAACUGCACUUGAUACUGCGGUGCUCGAGUACUGGAGAGGAGAUUGGAAUUUACGGUGUAGCAGUGAAAUGCGUAGAUAUCGUAAGGAAGACCGGUGGCGAAGGCGCCCACCUGGCCUGCUACUGACGCUGAAGCUCGAAAGCUAGGGGAGCAAACGGG